CCUACGGGUGGCAGCAGUGGGGGAUAUUGCACAAUGGGGGGAACCCUGAUGCAGCGACGCCGCGUGGGUGAAGAAGGGCCUCGGCGCGUAAAGCCCUGUCAACAGGGAAGAAAAUGACGGUACGUGAAGAAGAAGCCGCGGCGAACUACGUGCCAGCAGCCGCGGGAAUACGUAGGGGGCAAGCGUUAUCCGGAUUUACUGGGUGUAAAGGGGGCGCAGACGGGGCUGCAAGCCAGGAGUGAAAGCCCGGGGCCCACCCCCGGGACUGCUCUUGGAACUGCGUGGCUGGAGUGCAGGAGGGGCAGGCGGAAUUCCUGGUGUAGCGGUGAAAUGCUUAGAUAUCAGGCGGAACCCCGGUGGCGAAGGCGGCCUGCUGGACUGCACCUGACGUUGAGGCCCGAACGCGUGGGGAUCAAACAGGAUUAGAUACCCGGGUAGUC
This 440-nucleotide ribosomal RNA is filed under the name uncultured bacterium. Its description in RNAcentral is "partial 16S ribosomal RNA". It matches the Rfam family "Bacterial small subunit ribosomal RNA", at positions 338 to 795 of the family's 1533-position model. The record is from RNAcentral.